GCUGGGUGUGGUGGUGCACACCUGCAGUCCCAGCUGCUUGGGAGGCUGAGACAGGAGGACUGCUUGAGCCUGGGAGGUCAAGUCUGUAGUGAGCUAUGAUCACGCCACUGCAUUCCAGCCUGGGCAACAGAGCAAGAACCUGUCUCUA
Pongo abelii (Sumatran orangutan) is the source of this 148-nucleotide unclassified non-coding RNA. It matches the Rfam family "Metazoan signal recognition particle RNA". From Rfam's summary of the family: The signal recognition particle (SRP) is a universally conserved ribonucleoprotein. It is involved in the co-translational targeting of proteins to membranes. The eukaryotic SRP consists of a 300-nucleotide 7S RNA and six proteins: SRPs 72, 68, 54, 19, 14, and 9. The record is from Ensembl. Lineage: Eukaryota; Metazoa; Chordata; Mammalia; Primates; Hominidae.